Molecule: ribosomal RNA, 253 nt
Filed under: uncultured bacterium
Lineage: Bacteria
Description: partial 16S ribosomal RNA
Rfam family: Bacterial small subunit ribosomal RNA
Source: RNAcentral
UACGGAGGGGGCUAGCGUUGUUCGGAAUUACUGGGCGUAAAGCGCACGUAGGCGGCUUUGUAAGUUAGAGGUGAAAGCCCGGGGCUCAACUCCGGAACUGCCUUUAAGACUGCAUCGCUUGAAUCCGGGAGAGGUGAGUGGAAUUCCGAGUGUAGAGGUGAAAUUCGUAGAUAUUCGGAAGAACACCAGUGGCGAAGGCGGCUCACUGGCCCGAUACUGACGCUGAGGUGCGAAAGCGUGGGGAGCAAACAGG